GACGAACCGAGCGAACGUUGUUCGGAAUCACUGGGCUUAAAGGGCGCGUAGGCGGGCUGUCAAGUCUGGGGUGAAAUCCCGCGGCUCAACCGUGGAACUGCCUCAGAUACUGACGGCCUCGAGGGAGAUAGGGGCGAGCGGAACUAAUGGUGGAGCGGUGAAAUGCGUUGAUAUCAUUAGGAACUCCGGUGGCGAAGGCGGCUCGCUGGAUCUUUUCUGACGCUGAGGCGCGAAAGCUAGGGGAGCAAACAGG
RNAcentral lists this ribosomal RNA (253 nucleotides) under uncultured bacterium. RNAcentral describes it as "partial 16S ribosomal RNA". It matches the Rfam family "Bacterial small subunit ribosomal RNA", at positions 524 to 776 of the family's 1533-position model. The record is from RNAcentral.